This 4141-nucleotide long non-coding RNA is filed under the name Lathyrus oleraceus (garden pea). RNAcentral's name for it is "Pisum sativum (pea) long non-coding RNA (PSAT_LNC035671)". Lineage: Eukaryota; Viridiplantae; Streptophyta; Magnoliopsida; Fabales; Fabaceae. The record is from RNAcentral.
AAGAAGAAAAAAAUCAUUUAUUUAAAAACACUGACUUUUUUUACACGUAUAAUACGCGUGUUAUACAAGUGUUGGACACCGAUGUGUGACGUAGACACCGCGACAAACCUAUUUUUAGAAGUGUGUGCUUCAUAGAGAAUAAGUUCCUGAUUGAUAUGCAAUGGAUUAGGAGAGCAUAUUACCUGUCAUUCCAUCUCUCCUCCCAUUAUAAAAAGAAGUCCAACUACUUUUUUAAAUAAUCAACUCACGCCCACACAGAUUCACACCUCAAAUAAAAUAAAAAAGCACCAUCAUUUUCUUCUGGACUUGCAACACCAGCAAGCAACCAUUAUCCAUUGCACUUCCACAUUUCAAAUCCUCAAGAAUUACAUCACUUAUAAAGAUAUGGAAUCCAACCUAACCUUUUAGGCUUUUACAAGGUCCCACAUUCCACUACAAAUACUAAAAACCCCAUUAUCAAAGCCCUUACAUCAUGUUCAACUAACCUCCAUACUUUUUUAUACAAAAAGGAAAAGCAUAUCAAAUGAACUUUGACAAGUUUUUUCCUUUUACAAUAAAUUUUCUAAAGACAAAAUAGGCUCUGCUUGCAUUUUAAGGUAUUGACAUUAAACCCUGUUGUAUUGACAAAAGCUGAAACAACAGCAAAAAAGAAACGACUAUGGCAUCCUACUUUGAAUGCAACUUGAUGCAAAUCAAUGACUAAAAUUAAGGAGAUUAGGAACAUGCAAAUAAAUGGUGAGUCCCGAAGUAGUAUGUGUGCGCUUGAUGGGACCACUGGAUAUUACCGAAGGUAUGUCUAUGGAGGAGGAGUAGUUUCGGGCUUAACUAUACUUGAGUUGUCUGAGGGUUGUGACUGGUAUAUUGCUGAUGCCAGUGAGAUUGGCAUGAUGCAGAGUGCCUUUGAUUGAAGGAACUGCAUCGCAGCACCAACAUUUUCUUCCAUGAGCUUAACUACUUGCUUUUCUGUGCCAUCAUUAGACCACUUCUCCCAAGCUGGUUGGUUUCUCCCGCUCUCAGUUCCUUCUUCCUGAUCAUCAAAUAAUAGAUUUGAUAAAUUGUUUGGAGAGAGGGAUAGAAUUAUGUCAAUUACAAAGUUUGAAUAAUUACCUCGACUGACGAUAAUGGGAUGUCAGUUACUAGUGGUGCCACCGCACCGGCUCCACCCAAUCUACUCAUGCUCAAAACCUGAAAGAUUAAUGAAUCAACAAUUAUUGGAAAUUUUCAGCACUCUUAGUUUCAUGUUGCUGACAAAACUAUACAUUUGGAUCCAAUGGAAAACCUUGAUUUCAAUUUCAUACACAAACAGCAAUAUGCAUGUACUCCCUACACAUCUCUAGAGAAAUCAAUGAAACUGUUAAACUUUUUUGUUGAAAACUAGAAAUUGGUUUUACUAUUCACACAUCGAAAAUUUGACUUGCUAUUGGUGAAAGACAAGAAGACCCUUGGAUAGUUGGGUGUUAUUGGGUAGUUAAAGUAGCAACAACGCAAAAUAGCAUUAACAUGGUAUCAUUUGAUUGUAUUUAGAUAUACACCAUUCUUUUGGAAUGAAAUCCAAUGGCUAAUGGGUCCCAUAUCAAAGUGGCACCUCAGGCUCAUAAUUACCAGUUGAACCCCCAAGAAAUGAUGAUAACUUGGGAUGAGAGGUCAAAAGACAUAGAUAAACACUAAACGGGUUUAACAGAAUAAGCAACAAAUCCCACCCAAGAUAAAUUUAAUUAUAAAUUUAGACCUAACAAGGAUAGAAAUCAAAUGUGCAAUCCAUGCCAAUCACAAAAGCACUAACCUUCACUUGAAGCCUUAAGAAUUUGACAUAAUCUACAAUUUCAUCCAGCAUGGCAGCUCGAUCUGUCUGAAUGAAGCACAAAUACACAUAGUAUUAGAAACAAUGAAAAGAUUAUGCAGAAGACCAAGAAAAAGUCAUCAGACCAAAACUAAAUCAUAAAAAAAUCUCUAUAUCUCAAAAUCCAGAAGACUCAUUUCAUACUUUAGAACUCUAAAUUUUUUGCAUAUGCCUAAUCAGAAUAUAUGCUGAUUUUGUCCUGAUUUUUUUAACCUAUUGAUAGGAUUGUUUCCCAGACUAAUUGUAAUAAACAAGAAACUAUUUACCGGCAAAACAGAAAACAUGUGAGAUAUGACUAUUUGGAGGACUUAUAUUUAAGGGCACAAGUUCAACCUAAAAGUGAUUUGAGCAUUAAAUAUUUCUUGAUGUACAUGUCAUUUUUCAAACUCAAACACAGUUAGAAUGAAUUUCAUCCUUCAAGUGGAAACAGACACAACCAGCGUCAUUGCAGAUCUAUAGAUCGUUAUGUUCAGACCAAAUAUGCAAUGAACAAUAUCUACCAAGAUUCUAUCAAAUAACAGAUGCCUAACAACUAGACAAAUCAGUCAAAUCACCCCUAAAGCUCCAUUUUCAGCACUGUUUUUGUUUCAGGCAAUAAUUAACAAGCUGUACCAAAUGUUGGGUGGGUGGCCGAUUUAUCUUUUUCUCACUUUAGAGUAAAUAUGAAAAGGUUCAUCCUUACCUAAUUGCACAAGUUCUAUAGACAAGUACAAACAGUACAUAUACAACAACAACCAAGACUUAUCCCACUAAGUAGGAUCGGCUACAUGGAUCAACUUUCGCCAUAAUGUUUUAUCCAGAACCAUCUUUCUAUCCAAAUCGUUAAUCUCGAGAUCUUAAUAACUUUUCUUAUAGUUGCAGUAAAAAAAAUCACGUAGAAGUCACAUACCUUGUUGACACUAGGAACAAGUUCUUGCAAAGCCCUGAUUCUUUCGGCUAUUCUUUCUCUACGCAACUGUUAUUGAAUGGCAAAAAGAAGAGUAAAGAAACAUCAACAUAUCAAGAUAUUAGCAAUGUGAUUUAAUCCUCAUUCAACAUUAAGCAUUAUUAACAAGCAGAAAAUCCAUAUUUUAGAAAAGAUCCUAGAGCCAACCCUUUCAGCAAUGCUGUGUGGAUCUGUAGCCUGUCCUCUUCUUGCCCGCACUCUAGGACGCAUUGCUGGUGGAUGUGGAGCAGUAGGAACUGUAGUCGGCAUGGGCUGCCCAUGAAAAGUCUGAAAAAACUUAAAAUAAAAUUAAGACAGAAAAAAGGAAAAGACGAACGGAAAGAAGCAUAAUAUAAGGUACUACCAAUUGAACUGCAUAAAUGAUCAACCCUUCACCAAGGACUAACGGAAAGAAGCAUAACGAAACUUGCACACUGUCUAUUACAUUUAUAACAAACAAAACCACAUAACAAGGUUUUAAAUAAAGCCCUGCAACCGAACCACAGUCGGGGCCGCAAAAUAACAGUUUUUGAUAUUGUUGAAACUACAAUGCAACUGCGUUUGAGGCUACAUCAGCCGUAUUCAACCGCGACUCUCAAACUUAGAUAAACAGUAAUACACAAUUCCUCACCAAAAUGAAGCUAAACUUAAAUAGAUGAUCACAAAUUCACAAUCACCAAAACUUAAAACAUUAUUGAAAAUAAAAUAGUUUCAUAAAAGUUUAACUAAUGCAAUUGAAUUAAUAGGAAGAGAAAAAUAAAUUGAAAUGAAAAAGGUUAUGCUAUGUUACAUUCUUAGGUCUGGUAUCAACAACAUCUUCCCGGAAUCGUUUGCCACUCCCGGAAGCAUCAUCGGGCUUCAAGAACCCUCCCGUACCCUGGUCCAAGCUCAGGCCCAAAUGGUAGACCGGUGCAUGAAAUCCCGCUCCGGCAGCAAGAUGAGUAGCAGCGUCGCCGGAGUUAAGCUGCAUCAUCAUCGGAGAAGCUAAUGAAGAGGCGUCGGUUCCGUCGGCGGAGGUGAAAUUCGGGAGGCCGAGAAUUUGCUCCAGGAAAUCAUCGGCGGGAGUAUCGGAAGGAUGAUUCGACAUGACUCGGUUCAACUCGGUUGAGUUUGGAAAACGAGUUGAGAUAAUGGUACUUUACUUUUGGUAUAGAGAGAAAAUAGAGUUUUAGUAAUCUACUACUAGAUGAAGUAGACAAGAUAAUUUUUCAGUUUUUUUUUAUAGUUUUUUGGGGUUUGUUUGGUUAAUUAUUGUUAUGUGUGCUGUUGUUGCUUUUUCAGCUUAUUUUCUACUCUUUCUCAUUUGAAAAUGGUGUUUGAGAGUUCAUACUCUCAAGACAAGAGGGGAUUUGGAUUUAUUUUUUCCAGGGUUAAAU